Non-coding RNA from Aedes aegypti (yellow fever mosquito), 74 nucleotides. The record is from Rfam. Lineage: Eukaryota; Metazoa; Arthropoda; Insecta; Diptera; Culicidae.
CCUCUCAUGGCGUAGUGGUUAACGCGCCCCAACUAGAGAUCGGGGAGUCGUGAGUUCGAUUCUCACUGAGAAGA